Molecule: long non-coding RNA, 251 nt
Filed under: Mytilus galloprovincialis (Mediterranean mussel)
Lineage: Eukaryota; Metazoa; Mollusca; Bivalvia; Mytilida; Mytilidae
Source: RNAcentral
GUCCGGAUAUGUACGAUGUGGUAAAACUACCAACAAUCUCGUCAAAUUCGUCAGAUUUGUCGAGAGAUUUGUGCACAUGAAUGAAAUAGUUGUCACUUGACGUUUAACUAUAAACAAAAUCAAUCAACCGACAAAAUAGAUUAACAGUAUACUAUUCCCAGAAGAGAACCUCAUAUACAUUUUUUUUUAUUAAAAAGCACAAAUGAAUUCAGACAUAUCAGUGUUGGUACAUGUACUUGGAUGAUGCGGCC